AGCAGCCGCGGUAAUUCCAGCUCCAAUAGCGUAUAUUAAAGUUGUUGCAGUUAAAAAGCUCGUAGUUGAAUUUCGGGAUCAAUGCGUCGGUCGUGCUUUCGGGUACGUACUGGUGUCAUUGGUUUCUCCUUUCUGACGAGCCGUGAUGUCAUUAAUUUGGUGUUACGGGUAGUUAGGACUGUUACUUUGAAAAAAUUAGAGUGUUUAAAGCAGGCAUUCGCUUGAAUACAUUAGCAUGGAAUAAUGAAAUAGGACGUUCGACCCUAUUUUGUUGGUUUCUAGGAUCAACGUAAUGAUUAAUAGGGAUAGUUGGGGGCAUUAGUAUUCAAUUGUCAGAGGUGAAAUUCUUGGAUUUAUUGAAGACUAACUACUGCGAAAGCAUUUGCCAAGGAUGUUUUCAUUAAUCAAGAACGAAAGUUAGGGAUCGAAGACGAUCAGAUACCGUCGUAGUCUUAACCAUAAACUAUGCCGACUAGGGAUCGGAUGAUGUUAAUUUUUAAUGUACUCAUUCGGCGCCUUA
RNAcentral lists this ribosomal RNA (520 nucleotides) under uncultured Glomus. RNAcentral describes it as "SSU rRNA". It matches the Rfam family "Eukaryotic small subunit ribosomal RNA", at positions 569 to 1090 of the family's 1831-position model. Lineage: Eukaryota; Fungi; Glomeromycota; Glomeromycetes; Glomerales; Glomeraceae. The record is from RNAcentral.